Drosophila miranda is the source of this 1279-nucleotide long non-coding RNA. RefSeq lists it as uncharacterized. The record is from RefSeq and is a predicted model, not a curated record. The transcript is spliced from 3 exons. NCBI's taxonomy places the organism in Eukaryota, Metazoa, Arthropoda, Insecta, Diptera, Drosophilidae.
CUUGCGCCAUCCCGUAAUCUCGUUGCGCAGCUUUGAUUCGACGCGUUUUUUUAAAUCUGCCUUUUGCCGAGCAAUCCCUCUAUAAAUUUUCCUGAAACAUACGAAAUAAUAUAUAUUAGUGUUGGCAUUAAUCGUAUUUCGGGUUAUAAAAUGGUCGUGUGGGUGCUUCUUGACUAUUUCGACCUCCCACACGAUUUGCUGACCUAAUUUUUUAUUUUGUUUGUGUAUUAUUUGCUCUUGGAACUGUCAGCACAGGGUUAAGUGGAUCAGGACAUUUGGGGCGACCCCAAACGGCAUCCGUUUACUGACCGUCCUUCGAACUGUGGAGGGCAGUGCACGCAGGCUCCACUGGGAUUACCAGGUCAAUGUACAUGCUGCCUCGCGCGUUUUUCUAUUGCAGCAGGCACGCGCGGGCUGUGUUGAUCCCGCCCCCCUCUUGCAAUCUUAGGGCUCCAGCCACGCGCUGUUUUUUCCUUGCUUCUCCGCGCGUUCUCCUUUGUCUUGCAGCCACGCGCGUGAUUUUCUAUUGUUUCCCCCGCACGUCCCCACGCGCAAUUUUUGCAGUGCUAGUGCUGCAGUCCCGCAUUUGAUCUUCUGGUGCUACGCGAGGUUUUUUCGUGGUUUAGCGGAUAUAUUUUAGUGUUAAGUUUUAGCGCACGAAUCGUUGUAAAAUACUGGAGAGUAGGCUCCUACCCGCGCGUGUAUGAAGUGUGUGCUUAGAAGCUCUAGAAGUGCAUAUACAUACAUGUGUACAUAUGUAUGCAUGUGAAAAGGCAGCGUAGAGCCAUCCCUCGUUCCUAUUUUGGAGAGAAGCCCAGUGUUUGAUUUGGAGAAAAUUGGUGCAGCUGCGUCACGUGUUUCUAUAGUGGAGACUACCACAAAUCUCCACGCUCCUAUUCAUCUGCUGUUGUGGAGAGUAACUGUUCUUCGCUCAGGGGACCCGCUCGCACGUGCCUAUAGUAGGCAGUGGGGGGAAGGAGAAGGAGAUGGAUGGACACUGCAACAGCAGCCGCACUUCAUUAUAAGCCGAGCAUAUGCCCUGCUCCCCCACUCUCCACCCCUUGGUCGGGAUAAUUGAAUAUGGGUCUAUUAAUGCGCUUAACACAAAAGCUGCUGCUGCUGCUGCUGCUGUUCUGAUGCUGAUGAUGAUGGGCCACAAUCCAAAGGGACCGUACCUUUGGUCAUGGAAGAAAGGGAUAGAUAAUGCGAGCGAAUAUCACUGACAAGGAAGAGAGGAAACACACUGCAUACGCAUGUGCAUAUGUAUGUAUAUUAAUAC